AACCAAACUCUGAUUUAACGACGUUUCUUCUGAGUGACACAAGUAAUAAUCAAAACUUUUAACAACGGAUCUCUUGGUUCUGGCAUCGAUGAAGAACGCAGCGAAAUGCGAUAAGUAAUGUGAAUUGCAGAAUUCAGUGAAUCAUCGAAUCUUUGAACGCACAUUGCGCCCGCCAGCAUUCUGGCGGGCAUGCCUGUUCGAGCGUCAUUUCAACCCUCAAGCUCUGCUUGGUUUUGGGGCCCUACGGUUGACGUAGGCCCUUAAAGGUAGUGGCGGACCCUCUCGGAGCCUCCUUUGCGUAGUAACAUUUCGUCUCGCAUUGGGAUUCGGAGGGACUCUUGCCGUAAAACCCCCAAUUUUUCUAAGGUUGACCUCGGAUCAGGUAGGAAUACCCGCUGAACUUAAGCAUAUCAAA
RNAcentral lists this non-coding RNA (415 nucleotides) under Colletotrichum truncatum. RNAcentral describes it as "sequence contains 18S rRNA gene, ITS1, 5.8S rRNA gene, ITS2 and 28S rRNA gene". The stretch from base 54 to 207 matches the Rfam family "5.8S ribosomal RNA". The record is from RNAcentral. Lineage: Eukaryota; Fungi; Ascomycota; Sordariomycetes; Glomerellales; Glomerellaceae.